AAGCGGGAUGCAUUUUAGGCAGACUUGGAACUCUGAAACUCAUGGAGACUUUGAGGAUUAUAAAAAAUAUGUAGUGUGUCUCUCCACAAGACAACUUUCCAGCCCAAAGUCACUGGGAUAGCAGGAUAUUGCAUUUGUGAUCCUCCUCGGCCCUUCGCAUGGGGAGUGUGGGAGUGGUGAGGUCUGGGAGAUCACGACCUUAAUUCUCUCCAAGACAGACGGUUUAAUUAACACUGGAGGAAUCCUCACUGGCUCCAGACCUCUACAAUGGGAAUGUGCACGGGAAUUGGAUUGCCAAGGCCCCCUUCUACGUAGUCCACAUUGCGAGAAGACCACCUCACAAGGAUUUUCCCCUUCACCAGGUGUGGCAGAGUGAGAGUCAGAGAGAUCACCUGGUCUAGACUGGAACUGUCAGGAUCCUCAAAGAAACCUGUGUGGAAAUGGAGAAGUUUAUGAAGAUAAAGAGGAAAACAGCUUGAUGGAGAAAAAAACUGUUAAAUGAUGUCUAUUUGUCACAUAUAAGGUAACAUCUAAUUGUCAUCAUACGUUGUCCUCCAACUGGAUCUCAUGUAUUUCACUUUAAAUAUAUGAGCAACAAUCUGGUGGCUUUGGAGCUUUUGGAUGUGCAACUACUAAGGGUUAUGAAGUGUUACUUUUUGCAGGAUAUCACUAGCUAAAAAUAAAUUAUUAUUAUUAUUGUUAUUUAUCAAUUGCAUAUUCAAG
Molecule: long non-coding RNA, 723 nt
Filed under: Cottoperca gobio
Lineage: Eukaryota; Metazoa; Chordata; Actinopteri; Perciformes; Bovichtidae
Description: lncRNA (ENSCGOG00000018190.1)
Source: RNAcentral